CCACGCCUGCGCAGCUCCACUAAUUAGGCGGGUGGCCCUUCAUUCUCUUGUGUGCGGCCGCCCAGGCGCACACCUUUGAGGGAACUAUUCGUGGACCACCUGAAUGGAGCUCGCAGACCACUGGUGGUCCACGGACCACAGUUUGAGAACCUCUGCUGUAGGGAUUAGACAUACCUAUAUUGCGGAAUAGAGAUCCUCUCUUCUCUGCAUGUGUUGUAUACCCAUUCAUGGAUUUAUUUCUCAUUUUAUGUUCUACAUUCUAGCUGGGCUCCCUUCUUCAGUAUGAAUUAGUUUUCUUAUGUAUUAUUAGCAAAUCUUCUGCUUAAUUACUGAUUUUUCAACUGCAGAAUUUAAUGUGGAUAGUAGAGUCCAAGGAACUGACCCUGACUGGAGGGAUGAGAAAAAUAUAUUUGCAAAAGUCUAAACAUGAUACCUCAAACUACUGCUUGCCCAAAAAAUUUGAUUAAAGUAAAUGGACUUCUGGAAGGUAGAGUAGAGCAGCUAAUAUUUGCUCCGAUAAUGUAAGGAUUAUUGGAAUGCUUGCAGGAAAAGAAUACCAGGCCCUACUUCAUUUCAUGACAUAUUAAUCACCAACACUCUUGAACUUUGUAUGCAGGAGGAUUUGCAAUAUGUGGAAAAAAAAUUAGUGACUAAUAAUAAUUUCAAAUUAUAUGUCUCUUUUUUUCUGGUGAUCUUGAAAUCCCCUGGAUCCGGGGGUGAGGUAAAAAGUUUGGGGACCACUGGAAUAGGAUCAGGAUUUCACCAUGUGGCAGGAAAGGAGUCAUGCUGGACGUGAUGUUAGUUGUGCAGGCAUUUGUGAUUUUACUAGCAUUUUGUGACUGGCCUGGAAAGAUGAUAUCAACUCCAAUGCUACUACAGCUAAUGUCUCAAGUGGUAGAGGGCUGCUUUUGUAUCUAGAGUUUGUUUUAACACUGAUGGUAUGUGUGUACAGGCUAGUUGAUAACUAUAAUGUCUGCUACCACUGCAAUUACCCACAGUAGUUGUCCUAGACAGUCUAUAUUAAAAUAUUUCUACCUUUAAUUUUAAUUAAUCAAAGCAAAGUGCAGUCCAUAAGAACAUCUUACUAAUUUUUUUUGGAACUAAGGACUUUAGGCCCUAAUUUGUAAAAUAGGUGAACAAAUAUGUAAGUCAAGUGUGGUGCACGGUGUCACAGAGUGACUGGCUCCUUUAAGGGGACAUAGUGGCCAGCCACACCUGGGCCAUAAUUAAUUAGCUUCUUGUGAGCCUCAGUGGGUAGAAUUAAGAGGGUCACAAGAUAGUUUAAUAGAUAGCUGGACCUCAUAAAAAGGCUGAGAGAGAUCAGUCUGGGAGUGGAAACACAGGGAGUGGGUAGGCUUCUGUAGAAGGCUCUAAACUAGGCUUUGGAAGAGCAGUAAUGAAAUCACAGGAAGUGGGCAAAUGCCUGUGGAAGCCUUUGAGGCAGCAACUGCUGGAGGCCGGGUACUCCAGGGGAACCAGCCUUGAGGCCCAGGGCUGUGUACUGGAACAGGGAAGGAUGCAAAGAAUGGAGCCCAGCAGAUGCUGAGAUCAGUACUCCAGGGGAAUGCGCCUGAGGAUCAUCAAGGCUAAACGCCGUGAAGAUGGAAAUAUUUUGUAGUAAAUGAGGAAAGGCAAUAGAGAGAUUGAGAAUGUUAUCAAGUGCAGAAUGGAUUAUGGUCAAAGAAGUGGAUGCAGAUGUCAUAAAAUUGGCACUGGGGACCUCAUCAGCUAAUUCAACAGCUUCAUAUACAGUAACUGACAAAGAGCAAUUCUAUUCUGGGUUGGAUGCUUGAGACAGCUAUCCGGAGAUUCCUGAGACAGCUAUCCGGAGAUCCCUUUCUACCUUCAAUUAAAUGUGCACACAGUGUCAUAGCAAACGGAUUAAUGUACAGAUGGCAAUGACUUUGUAUAAUGCUAUGCAAGCUUAACAGAAAUCCAUCAAAAUGCACAGCGCCAUCUGACGACCCGAUAUAUCUGGAGGAAUCAGUUUUGCAAAUUAUUCAUUGCUGUGGAUAAAAUAUGGGCAAAGCCUUAAAACCUUAGAAAGAGAGGUCACUUGGAAACAUUUUAAAUGAGUGGGAAGCCAUCACAACAGAAAUUCUUCAAAGAAUCAGUCAUUAAGGAAUGUAUUGUCACUUCAGUGCAUUCAGCUACCACAUAUAUUCUCAACUAGCUGCAGUAAAAUUCAAUCAUGUAACUCUUAUUAACCUAGUAAGUGACUGAAGGAGUGCACAAACCCCACACUGGAAAUGAAUGGGUUAAAGAGCUACUCUGGGCCCAAGUAGACAUGCCCCACUGUACCUGCACAGGCUGGAGGAACUCAAAAAGGUGAGCACAGUGGAGGAGAGCUGACCUACACUCUGAGCUCCUGCUGCCUGAGGCCUCGCUAUAUUGACCUGACCAAGCCUACAAAAAAGGAACCUGUGAUUCUGUAAAUUUCAGAGAUUUAUUUUUGUGUUUAGUUCUUUCUUUUUCCCCUGGGGUAGAGAGAGGACAGGUAGGAAGUGAUCCACGGAGGCAGCCAUAUAGAAUCAUAGAGUAUCAGGGUUGGAAGGGACCUCAAGAGGUCAUCUAGUCCAACCCCCGGCUCAAAGCAGGACCAAUUCCCAACUAAAUCAUCCCAGCCAGGGCUUUGUCAAGCCGGGCCUUAAAAACCUCCAAGGAAGGAGACUCCACCACCUCCCUAGGUAACAUAUUCCAGUGCUUCACCACCCUCCUAGUGAAAUAAUGUUUCCUAAUAUCCAACCUGGACCAUAUAGCACCUGAGGGUGCAGGGUUUAGCUGCCUACCAUUGCGCCCUGGAUUGGAGCCUGGUGGAGAGGGUGGGCCCAGGCUUUUCUACCAACCCCUAAAGAGCUACAAAUAUGGAAGUCUAUCCUUUGAAGUGGGACUGGGUUAGGGGAAGAUCCUGAAAGUACAAGGGUGUGAACCAUGACACCCUGACCCAAGGAAGAAGCCCUGAUUCCCUUGCUUAAUCCUGAAGACUUCCUAACAUUGGACUCUGUAUAUAUACCCUGCAAGGGGAGGACUUGGAAAAAGUCACCUGGCCAGAGGGCUGAUUGACUGAAAGGAUAGACCACAGUAGGGCAGGAUGAUAGUAAGAAAGUGUCAUGCCUGGGAGGAAGACAACCUCCCAUGCUCCUGCCACUGAUGGUGAGUGUUCCCCUGUAUAGUGCCGUAUAUCGUGUUAUAUGGCAUCUACAGUGCUGCAAAUAUUACAUAGAACUUGAGGAUAUUUAGCAUCUGACUAUAUGUCCAUAAGAGUGGCCCUUGUAAGUUUGUAUAAGUCCACAAGAUACCAACACAAUUAAUACUAAUGGGAUUUUCCUAGAACAGACUAAGCAAAGAUGUGAUUGAAUGUAAGAGUCCCAUUGACUUUCAUAACCUUUAUACCUUGCUCUAUCUAGCUUUGUAUAAGGUCGUCUUUCACCAUGGUACCUGUGGAUGUGUUGGAUAGAAAACGUUCCAUUUAUUAAGUGUACAUAGCUGCCAUUUUGGAUCGGUGAAAGGACAGCUGGUCAUCCAUCUUGGCACCCCUUCUCCUUUAGCUCUUGGGCUCUUUUUCAAGUUUGGCACCAAAGCAGAGGGAAAGGCGGGAAAGAUAGUGUCACGUGAUAGUGAAAUCUGCCUCGCAACAGGGAACGUACAUAAGGGUGUGUUCAAUCCCUGAGAGGAGGGUUCUUUCUGUGUCUCUGGAUGCUGUGAAAGCAGGUCAUCCCUGUGAGGCAUAGAAUCCCUGCCACACCACUGGCCUUGGUGCUAACUAGAGCCCUGAGGGAAUAAGACUUAAGGUGGACCAGUAACACCUAAUAAGGUUCCUUUGGACUUACCUUCACUCGCCUAUUAAACCAUCACACAUUGUAGUGUCCACAUUCAGCACACAGGACAUAGAGGUCAAGAGUAGAAGUCAGAAGACAUCCUGCCAAAGAUGUACUUACCUGUCACAGAGGUUCCUGAACUCCGAUUUCUGUUGUGUUCCUGAUCCUUCCCUGAGGUCCUGGUUCCCGUCUGUGUUCCUGUUCUCCUGUCCAGUGUCUGCAAGACAUGGUAUAGUCCUCUGUUAUUUUUGUAAACCCCAGUGUGUAAGGGUUUGGGCUCUGGGGUUCAUUCCCCAUUAUACCAUCUGUGUUAACAACUGAGCAGUUAUUCUUUGUGUUAUCUUAGUUGCAGGGAGUGCUAGUUUGUUUUUGUGUAUCUCAAUAAACACCAUUUUGUUGUUUGCAACCUUAA
This is a non-coding RNA of Chrysemys picta bellii (western painted turtle), 4230 nucleotides long. Lineage: Eukaryota; Metazoa; Chordata; Testudines; Emydidae. The record is from RefSeq and is a predicted model, not a curated record.